RNAcentral lists this ribosomal RNA (600 nucleotides) under uncultured bacterium. RNAcentral's name for it is "bacterial SSU rRNA". It matches the Rfam family "Bacterial small subunit ribosomal RNA", at positions 40 to 645 of the family's 1533-position model. The record is from RNAcentral.
UGGCGUGCUUAACACAUGCAAGUCGAACGGUGAUCUUGAGGUGCUUGCACCUUGGGUGAUCAGUGGCGAACGGGUGAGUAACACGUGAGUAACCUGCCCCAGACUCUGGAAUAACCCCGGGAAACCGGAGCUAAUACCGGAUAUGAAGUAGAGCUGCAUGGCUACUACUUGGAAAGUUUUUCGGUCUGGGAUGGACUCGCGGCCUAUCAGCUUGUUGGUGAGGUAAUGGCUCACCAAGGCGACGACGGGUAGCCGGCCUGAGAGGGCGACCGGCCACACUGGGACUGAGACACGGCCCAGACUCCUACGGGAGGCAGCAGUGGGGAAUAUUGCACAAUGGGCGAAAGCCUGAUGCAGCGACGCCGCGUGAGGGAUGACGGCCUUCGGGUUGUAAACCUCUUUCAGCAGGGAAGAAGCGCAAGUGACGGUACCUGCAGAAGAAGCACCGGCUAACUACGUGCCAGCAGCCGCGGUAAUACGUAGGGUGCGAGCGUUGUCCGGAAUUAUUGGGCGUAAAGAGCUUGUAGGCGGUUUGUCGCGUCUGCUGUGAAAAUCCGGGGCUCAACCCCGGACUUGCAGUGGGGUACGGGGCAGACUAGA